RNAcentral lists this ribosomal RNA (1381 nucleotides) under uncultured bacterium. RNAcentral describes it as "bacterial SSU rRNA". It matches the Rfam family "Bacterial small subunit ribosomal RNA", at positions 23 to 1401 of the family's 1533-position model. The record is from RNAcentral.
CUCAGGAUGAACGCUAGCGACAGGCUUAACACAUGCAAGUCGAGGGGCAGCGGGGGAGUGGCAACACUUCCGCCGGCGACCGGCGCACGGGUGAGUAACACGUAUGAAACCUGCCCGCAGCAGGGGGAUAAGCGGAAGAAAUUCCGUCUAAUACCGCGUAACAACCGACGGGGGCAUCCCUGUUGGUUCAAAGGAGCGAUCCGGCUGCGGAUGGUCAUGCGGCGCAUUAGCUAGUUGGCGGGGCAACGGCCCACCAAGGCGACGAUGCGUAGGGGUUCUGAGAGGAAGGUCCCCCACACUGGUACUGAGACACGGACCAGACUCCUACGGGAGGCAGCAGUGAGGAAUAUUGGUCAAUGGCCGAGAGGCUGAACCAGCCAAGUCGCGUGAGGGAUGACGGCCCUACGGGUUGUAAACCUCUUUUGCCGGGGAGCAAAGAGCGGGACGCGUCCCGCCUCGAGAGUACCCGGAGAAAAAGCAUCGGCUAACUCCGUGCCAGCAGCCGCGGUAAUACGGAGGAUGCGAGCGUUAUCCGGAUUUAUUGGGUUUAAAGGGUGCGCAGGCGGAAGCGCAAGUCAGCGGUAAAAUUGAGAGGCUCAACCUCUUCCCGCCGUUGAAACUGCGUUUCUUGAGUGGGCGAGAAGUACGCGGAAUGCGUGGUGUAGCGGUGAAAUGCAUAGAUAUCACGCAGAACUCCGAUUGCGAAGGCAGCGUACCGGCGCCCAACUGACGCUCAUGCACGAAAGCGUGGGUAUCGAACAGGAUUAGAUACCCUGGUAGUCCACGCAGUAAACGAUGAAUACUCGCUGUCCGGGGAGAUUGGUCUCUGGGCGGCCAAGCGAAAGCGUUAAGUAUUCCACCUGGGGAGUACGCCGGCAACGGUGAAACUCAAAGGAAUUGACGGGGGCCCGCACAAGCGGAGGAACAUGUGGUUUAAUUCGAUGAUACGCGAGGAACCUUACCCGGGCUCAAACGUAGCAGGAAUAACUGAGAAAUCAGUUAGUUCUCCGGAACCUGCUACGAGGUGCUGCAUGGUUGUCGUCAGCUCGUGCCGUGAGAUGUUGGGUUAAGUCCCGCAACGAGCGCAACCCCUAUUGUUAGUUGCUACGCAAGAGCACUCUAGCGAGACUGCCGUUGACAAAACGGAGGAAGGCGGGGACGACGUCAAAUCAUCAUGCCCCUUAUGUCCUGGGCUACACACGUAAUACAAUGGCGGUUAACAAAGGGAUGCAAAGCCGCGAGGCAGAGCGAACCCCAAAAAGCCGUCCCAGUUCGGAUCGCAGGCUGCAACCCGCCUGCGUGAAGUCGGAAUCGCUAGUAAUCGCGGAUCAACAUGCCGCGGUGAAUACGUUCCCGGGCCUUGCACUCACCGCCCGUCAAG